AGUGAACGCUGGCGGUAGGCCUAACACAUGCAAGUCGAACGGCAGCACAGUAAGAGCUUGCUCUUACGGGUGGCGAGUGGCGGACGGGUGAGGAAUACAUCGGAAUCUACUUUUUCGUGGGGGAUAACGUAGGGAAACUUACACUAAUACCGCAUACGACCUACGGGUGAAAGCAGGGGAUCUUCGGACCUUGCGCGAUUGAAUGAGCCGAUAUCGGAUUAGCUAGUUGGCGGGGUAAAGGCCCACCAAGGCGACGAUCCGUAGCUGGUCUGAGAGGAUGAUCAGCCACACUGGAACUGAGACACGGUCCAGACUCCUACGGGAGGCAGCAGUGGGGAAUAUUGGACAAUGGGCGCAAGCCUGAUCCAGCCAUACCGCGUGGGUGAAGAAGGCCUUCGGGUUGUAAAGCCCUUUUGUUGGGAAAGAAAAGCAGCAGGUUAAUACCCCGCUGUUCUGACGGUACCCAAAGAAUAAGCACCGGCUAACUUCGUG
RNAcentral lists this ribosomal RNA (492 nucleotides) under uncultured bacterium. Its description in RNAcentral is "partial 16S ribosomal RNA". It matches the Rfam family "Bacterial small subunit ribosomal RNA", at positions 29 to 507 of the family's 1533-position model. The record is from RNAcentral.